GCAGAACUUGGCUGGACAACACUCAGAUGUCUGUUCUUGAGAACUUGACUCCGACAGUCAGGAAGCGUGUCGAGGUUCUAAGAGAGAUUCAAAUACACAGCGAUAUGGGAUUGUGAACGGUGUGGUUGAAGUUGAAGGUGCAGGGGAAGAAGUAAAAUCAGAACAAGGAGAAGAGAAAGCAGCUGAAGAGAAAGGAGUGCCAGAUUUCUGGCUUAUUGCAUUGAAGAAGAUUCUUAAAAAGAAGCCUAUGAAAGGAUCCAAAAACACAAAGCCGAUCACUAAGACCGAAGAAAGUGAGAGUUUCUUCCCUUCUUCAGUAGCUGGUUAACAAUUGAUGAUGAAUUGACUGAUGAACUCCAGGGCCAAACGAUUAUGAUAUCGGGAAUGUAUCAUUUAGCAAAACAAAUAGUGCAACCUUGAUGACUAUGUUAAUAUCUGGCCAUUCUCUUGCCCUUGAUGACUCUAGCAUGACUGGAGAAGAAACAUGGUUAAGAAAAUACUGAAAGUAGGCUCUCCUUUCAAUCUUUCUUUGGUCUU
Molecule: non-coding RNA, 537 nt
Organism: Camelina sativa (false flax)
Lineage: Eukaryota; Viridiplantae; Streptophyta; Magnoliopsida; Brassicales; Brassicaceae
Source: RefSeq, a predicted model, not a curated record